Molecule: non-coding RNA, 451 nt
Organism: Peromyscus maniculatus bairdii (prairie deer mouse)
Lineage: Eukaryota; Metazoa; Chordata; Mammalia; Rodentia; Cricetidae
Source: RefSeq, a predicted model, not a curated record
GGGAUUCUGAACACAGGCUGCCUCCUAGGGCUCAGGCACAGAAAUAGAGUCAAGAGAAUGCUGGGUAGAAUUUGCUAUUUUGGGAAAGAAAUGCAGCUUGCUUUUCGCUUUCUUGUUUUACUUCCCACCCUACACCGAGCCCAGCCUCCAUCUGUGUGACCGACCGCCCAGGAUGGAAGCCUUCAUUGAACCAGGAGCCGCUGCCAGGGUUCCCUUGGCCUUCAUGUGAGGGGAGGUGUAGAUGUCCCAUUCAGACAAUGCUCACGGAGCUGAGCAUUCAACAGUCACCCCUUCUCAGCACUUUGACCGGCUGUGAGUCACUGCAGGGCACCUGACCAUUGCAGCGGGAAACGUCUCCAAUUGCUUUUGGUCACGGUGUUUCAUCACAGCCAUGGAAGCUAAGACCGAAUGAGUGAGGAAGUCAGCUGAGAAGAGAGUUCCUGUGCAGGAG